UACGGGGGGGGCAAGCGUUGUUCGGAAUUACUGGGCGUAAAGGGCUCGUAGGCGGCCAACUAAGUCGGAUGUGAAAUCCCCAGGCUUAACCUGGGAACUGCAUCCGAUACUGGAUGGCUUGAAUCCGGGAGAGGGAUGCAGAAUUCCAGGUGUAGCGGUGAAAUGCGUAGAUAUCUGGAGGAAUACCGGUGGCGAAGGCGGCUCACUGGACCAUUACUGACGCUGAGGCACGAAAGCUAGGGGAGCAAACAGG
This 253-nucleotide ribosomal RNA is filed under the name uncultured bacterium. Its description in RNAcentral is "partial 16S ribosomal RNA". It matches the Rfam family "Bacterial small subunit ribosomal RNA", at positions 524 to 776 of the family's 1533-position model. The record is from RNAcentral.